GAUGAACGCUGGCGGCGUGCCUAAUACAUGCAAGUCGAGCGAACAGACGAUGAGCUUGCUCCUCUGACGUUAGCGGCGGACGGGUGAGUAACACGUGGAUAACCUACCUAUAAGACUGGGAUAACUUCGGGAAACCGGAGCUAAUACCGGAGAAUAUAUUGAACCGCAUGGUUCAAUAGUUAAAGACGGUUUUGCUGUCACUUAUAGAUGGAUCCGCGCCGCAUUAGCUAGUUGGUAAGGUAACGGCUUACCAAGGCAACGAUGCGUAGCCGACCUGAGAGGGUGAUCGGCCACACUGGAACUGAGACACGGUCCAGACUCCUACGGGAGGCAGCAGUAGGGAAUCUUCCGCAAUGGGCGAAAGCCUGACGGAGCAACGCCGCGUGAGUGAUGAAGGUCUUCGGAUCGUAAAACUCUGUUAUUAGGGAAGAACAAAUGUGUAAGUAACUAUGCACGUCUUGACGGUACCUAAUCAGAAAGCCACGGCUAACUACGUG
RNAcentral lists this ribosomal RNA (497 nucleotides) under uncultured bacterium. RNAcentral describes it as "partial 16S ribosomal RNA". It matches the Rfam family "Bacterial small subunit ribosomal RNA", at positions 28 to 507 of the family's 1533-position model. The record is from RNAcentral.